CUGGCCCCGCUUGUUAUGGGUUGGCUUCGCCCUCUCCUCCCUUCCUUGUGUUCUCAGUUAGCAAAUGGGUGAACUGUAGGAUGCAGUGAGCUGACCAAUUAGCUGCCAGCUAUGCUCCGUUACAGUUACGCCUCUAGUUUUGCGUCUCUGCACGUACUUUUGGCGCCUGCACCUGAGCGUAGGAGGCUGCGUUUUCCACUUGAGAGUAAAAGAGAGCUGUGCCUGAAUCCACUGUUGUCACGGAGCUAAAGGCAGUGAAUUCCGCUAAAAUGGUCAGGUUUGGGGAAAGAGGUGGAAACAUCGUGCAGCUGAGAUCCAUUCCACAGAGUCAUACCGAUCCACAUGUUCCAGACGUUCUUCCAGAGAUUCGUAGAUUUCGCAGAGCACUUUCAUAAAACCUUGCUAGUGUGCUUGUUAA
This is a long non-coding RNA of Micropterus dolomieu (smallmouth bass), 418 nucleotides long. RefSeq lists it as uncharacterized. The transcript has 3 exons. The record is from RefSeq and is a predicted model, not a curated record. Lineage: Eukaryota; Metazoa; Chordata; Actinopteri; Centrarchiformes; Centrarchidae.